Molecule: ribosomal RNA, 433 nt
Filed under: uncultured bacterium
Lineage: Bacteria
Description: partial 16S ribosomal RNA
Rfam family: Bacterial small subunit ribosomal RNA
Source: RNAcentral
AGCGAACGCUGGCGGCAGGCCUAACACAUGCAAGUCGAACGAACUCUUCGGAGUUAGUGGCGGACGGGUGAGUAACACGUGGGAACGUGCCUUUAGGUUCGGAAUAACUCAGGGAAACUUGUGCUAAUACCGAAUGUGCCCUUCGGGGGUAAGAUGUAUCGCCUUUAGAGCGGCCCGCGUCUGAUUAGCUAGUUGGUGAGGUAAAGGCUCACCAAGGCGACGAUCAGUAGCUGGUCUGAGAGGAUGAUCAGCCACAUUGGGACUGAGACACGGCCCAAACUCCUACGGGAGGCAGCAGUGGGGAAUCUUGCGCAAUGGGCGAAAGCCUGACGAAGCCAUGCCGCGUGAAUGAUGAAGGUCUUAGGAUUGUAAAAUUCUUUCACCGGGGACGAUAAUGACGGUACCCGGAGAAGAAGCCCCGGCUAACUUCGUG